CCUACGGGUGGCAGCAGUGGGGAAUAUUGGACAAUGGGCGAAAGCCUGAUCCAGCCAUGCCGCGUGUGUGAAGAAGGCCUUCGGGUUGUAAAGCACUUUCAGUGGGGAAGAAAGCCUUGGGGCUAAUACCCUCGAGGAAGGACAUCACCCACAGAAGAAGCACCGGCUAACUCCGUGCCAGCAGCCGCGGUAAUACGGAGGGUGCGAGCGUUAAUCGGAAUUACUGGGCGUAAAGCGCGCGUAGGCGGUCUGAUAAGCCGGUUGUGAAAGCCCCGGGCUCAACCUGGGAACGGCAUCCGGAACUGUCAGACUAGAGUGCAGGAGAGGAAGGUAGAAUUCCCGGUGUAGCGGUGAAAUGCGUAGAGAUAGGGAGGAAUACCAGUGGCGAAGGCGGCCUUCUGGACUGACACUGACGCUGAGGUGCGAAAGCGUGGGUAGCAAACAGGAUUAGAUACCCCAGUAGUC
RNAcentral lists this ribosomal RNA (465 nucleotides) under Vreelandella stevensii. Its description in RNAcentral is "partial 16S ribosomal RNA". It matches the Rfam family "Bacterial small subunit ribosomal RNA", at positions 338 to 795 of the family's 1533-position model. Lineage: Bacteria; Pseudomonadati; Pseudomonadota; Gammaproteobacteria; Oceanospirillales; Halomonadaceae. The record is from RNAcentral.